UUUUAUAUGAUCAAUCAUAUCGAGUGAUUCCAAUGAUGAAUUUGACACGAGUGGUGACUUGAUGACUUUCUUCAGCAAAGAUGGCUGACAAAACAUUAUGGGGAAAGCAAAUGGACUCCUGAGAAAACCAGCAAACCAGGCUGUCGUCUUGGGAAACAGUGGAUGUAAAGAAUAUAGCUAGCUAAAGCAUUUACUGCAAAUUGAAUGUACAAUUGUGUAAGCUUGCCUUGCUGUGCAGUGCAGCUGAAGUAACAUAGCUAGCAAACUAUUUACUUGCUUAUUGUGUAGUGGAGGAUAAAAUAACUGUAUGCCUAUGGAGGUGUAGCUAGCUACAGUAUGUAGCCGACCUGUGUAUGGACCCUAAAACGUUAGGUUCUGAACUAAUAGUCAUACCAAUCUAUGAACUUCAGCUAUCCUAGUUAUUGUAUCAACUUCAAGUCUGAAUGGCAUAAAUGAAGCCUAUGGAUAGAGUAGAAUAUAAUAACUUUAUUGUGCCUUGGAUGCAAGUCCUAUAUACAUGUACUGUAGUUAUUACCACGCAUGAGAUCCCCACUUUGUAGCCUGUAUAAUUAAUAUAUUCACUGAUCAUGUACUCUUCCUUGGCAAAUAAAGAUGCGGUUCAGGUAUGAA
Molecule: long non-coding RNA, 630 nt
Organism: Salvelinus fontinalis (brook trout)
Lineage: Eukaryota; Metazoa; Chordata; Actinopteri; Salmoniformes; Salmonidae
Exons: 2
Source: RefSeq, a predicted model, not a curated record